Molecule: ribosomal RNA, 722 nt
Filed under: uncultured Fusobacterium sp.
Lineage: Bacteria; Fusobacteriati; Fusobacteriota; Fusobacteriia; Fusobacteriales; Fusobacteriaceae
Description: bacterial SSU rRNA
Rfam family: Bacterial small subunit ribosomal RNA
Source: RNAcentral
GAUGAACGCUGACAGAAUGCUUAACACAUGCAAGUCAACUUGAACUUCGGUUUGGGUGGCGGACGGGUGAGUAACGCGUAAAGAACUUGCCUCACAGAUAGGGACAACAUUUGGAAACGAAUGCUAAUACCUGAUAUUAUGAUUUUAGGGCAUCCUAGAAUUAUGAAAGCUAUAUGCGCUGUGAGAGAGCUUUGCGUCCCAUUAGCUAGUUGGAGAGGUAACGGCUCACCAAGGCGAUGAUGGGUAGCCGGCCUGAGAGGGUGAUCGGCCACAGGGGGACUGAGACACGGCCCUUACUCCUACGGGAGGCAGCAGUGGGGAAUAUUGGACAAUGGACCAAGAGUCUGAUCCAGCAAUUCUGUGUGCACGAUGAAGUUUUUCGGAAUGUAAAGCGCUUUCAGUUGGGAAGAAAAAAAUGACGGUACCAACAGAAGAAGUGACGGCUAAAUACGUGCCAGCAGCCGCGGUAAUACGUAUGUCACAAGCGUUAUCCGGAUUUAUUGGGCGUAAAGCGCGUCUAGGUGGUUAUAUAAGUCUGAUGUGAAAAUGCAGGGCUCAACUCUGUAUUGCGUUGGAAACUGUGUAACUAGAGUACUGGAGAGGUAAGCGGAACUACAAGUGUAGAGGUGAAAUUCGUAGAUAUUUGUAGGAAUGCCGAUGGGGAAGCCAGCUUACUGGACAGAUACUGACUCUGAAGCGCGAAAGCGUGGGUAGCAAACAGG